UGGGGAAUUUUGGACAAUGGGCGAAAGCCUGAUCCAGCAAUGCCGCGUGUGUGAAGAAGGCCUUCGGGUUGUAAAGCACUUUUGUCCGGAAAGAAAUCCUCUGGGUUAAUACCUCGGGGGGAGUGACGGUACCGGAAGAAUAAGCACCGGCUAACUACGUGCCAGCAGCCGCGGUAAUACGUAGGGUGCAAGCGUUAAUCGGAAUUACUGGGCGUAAAGCGUGCGCAGGCGGUUUUGUAAGACGGAUGUGAAAUCCCCGGGCUUAACCUGGGAACUGCAUUCGUGACUGCAAGGCUAGAGUAUGGCAGAGGGGGGUUAGAAUUCCACGUGUAGCAGUGAAAUGCGUAGAGAUGUGGAGGAAUACCGAUGGCGAAGGCAGCCCCUGGGCCAAUACUGACGCUCAUGCACGAAAGCGUGGGGAGCAAACAGGAUUCAGAUACCCUGGUAGUCCACGCCCUAAACGAUGUCAACUAGUUGUUGGGGAUUCAUUUCCUUAGUAACGUAGCUAACGCGUGAAGUUGACCGCCUGGGGAGUACGGUCGCAAGAUUAAAACUCAAAUGAAUUGACGGGGUCAUAGCUGUUUCCU
This 587-nucleotide ribosomal RNA is filed under the name uncultured bacterium. Its description in RNAcentral is "partial 16S ribosomal RNA". It matches the Rfam family "Bacterial small subunit ribosomal RNA", at positions 355 to 1375 of the family's 1533-position model. The record is from RNAcentral.